UUCCUGCCUCGGUACAGACAUUUUCUGAUUUAGUAAAUGGUGAAUAAACAUAGUUUUAAAGUUAGCUAACCUUUUCACUUGCAUGACAGUCGAAAAAAAAAGUUUAUUGACAACAAUGUCUGAACAAAACAAAGACAUUUUAGGUAAAAAUUGUUAAAAUAAAAUGCGGUUUAUCAUUUAACCUUAUGUUUUAAUCUUAAUCACACCCCCCCCCCAAAAAAAAAAAACAAAAAAAAAACCAUAAAAGUCAGCAAAGAAAAGAUUAAAGGCAUAUAUGCAAAGCUUAUAAGCAAAAAUGAAAGACAAGAAUACGAAAGUCUACCAUAGCACAAUAAUACCAUUGACAAGGUAUCAAAGUACCAAGGAAUAUCAAAUAAAAUAGCAAAAGAAAAACAACGGUAUAAUAUUCCAAAUCACAAAAACAAGGACUCUAACACGU
This 439-nucleotide long non-coding RNA is filed under the name Mytilus galloprovincialis (Mediterranean mussel). The record is from RNAcentral. Lineage: Eukaryota; Metazoa; Mollusca; Bivalvia; Mytilida; Mytilidae.